This 468-nucleotide ribosomal RNA is filed under the name uncultured bacterium. Its description in RNAcentral is "partial 16S ribosomal RNA". It matches the Rfam family "Bacterial small subunit ribosomal RNA", at positions 28 to 507 of the family's 1533-position model. The record is from RNAcentral.
GACGAACGCUGGCGGCGUGCUUAACACAUGCAAGUCGAACGGAAAGGCCCUGCUUUUGUGGGGUGCUCGAGUGGCGAACGGGUGAGUAACACGUGAGUAGCCUGCCCUUGACUUUGGGAUAACUUCAGGAAACUGGGGCUAAUAUCGGAUAGGAGCUCCUGCUGCAUGGUGGGGGUUGGAAAGUUUCGGCGGUUGGGGAUGGACGCGCGGCUUAUCAUCUUGUUGGUGGGGUAGUGGCUUACCAAGGCUUUGACGGGUAGCCGGCCUGAGAGGGUGACCGGCCACAUUGGGACUGAGAUACGGCCCAGACUCCUACGGGAGGCAGCAGUGGGGAAUAUUGCACAAUGGGCGGAAGCCUGAUGCAGCAACGCCGCGUGCGGGAUGACGGCCUUCGGGUUGUAAACCGCGUUCGCCUGUGACGAAGCGUGAGUGACGGUAAUGGGUAAAGAAGCACCGGCUAACUACGUG